RNAcentral lists this ribosomal RNA (252 nucleotides) under uncultured bacterium. RNAcentral's name for it is "partial 16S ribosomal RNA". It matches the Rfam family "Bacterial small subunit ribosomal RNA", at positions 524 to 776 of the family's 1533-position model. The record is from RNAcentral.
UACGUAGGGAGCAAGCGUUGUCCGGAAUCAUUGGGCGUAAAGCGCGCGUAGGUGGCUUCGUAAGUCCGUUGUGAAAGCAAAGGCUCAACCUUUGAAAGCCGAUGGAUACUGUGGAGCUAGAGUACGGAAGAGGCGAGUGGAAUUCCUGGUGUAGCGGUGGAGUGCGCAGAUAUCAGGAGGAACACCAACGGCGAAAGCACUCUGCUGGGCCGACACUGACACUGAGAGACGAAAGCUAGGGGAGCGAAUGGG